AAAUUUAGACAUGGGUGCUUGGAUCAAUUUUGUAGGCCGAAAAGGUUGAACUAAUCUAUCCAAAAGGGGUCAACCACAAUUAAUGACAAUAUGCAACCAUUGGAUUCUUGAAAUAUUUUAUGUUUUUUUGAACUUGUUUUGUACGUAUCCAUCAAUUCAAAGUUGCAUACUGUUUUUAACUUGGUUUUUAAUUCAAUGUGCUUUUCAU
RNAcentral lists this unclassified non-coding RNA (208 nucleotides) under Hevea brasiliensis (rubber tree). The record is from RNAcentral. Lineage: Eukaryota; Viridiplantae; Streptophyta; Magnoliopsida; Malpighiales; Euphorbiaceae.